AGGAAACUUCCAGAGACAGAGCUGUCUGGCCUGGCAUCCAGGGACUGAGCCUACUGUAGAGUUACAUCCUCCAGAAGCAGGAAACGUAUGGAAUCAUUUGAGCUUAAGAGACUGUGACAUUUUUAUAGAAUGAAAGGAGUAACUGAGAGAUACAGUGACAGAGCUGGGAGCUGCAGCUGGCUGGCUGUUCCAUGGAGCAUUCCCUUCAUAGAUUUUUAUGACUCUCCUAGCCCUAAUAUUAAACACUUGACCUUUUUGUCAAAUACUAUUUUAUAUUAUUAGGUUGGAUGAUUAGUUACUAAAUAUACCAUCUAUAGUAAAUAGGAAAUUGUGUAGUCUGAUGCUUUUAGUCUUAGACCUUUCAGGUAUUGGUCCUUUGGCAUUUAACAUUACAACAUUGAGUGCUCUUAUAUUAAGUCCCUUGGUAAGCAAGAAGUGCACAGCACUUUCACAUAGGGCAGAGGAGUUUCUGAAGCAGAAUUACCAGAGUGGAGAAUGCUGUAAACAUUGUAAAGUCAGGGAUAACUAGGAGCCAGCUGUUGCUGAACAAUGCACCUUAAUCUACAGCCUAGGAAUAAGAGCAUUUACUUUUUAAAAUUCUAUAAACCAGAACUUUGUAAAUGCCUCUUCCCUGUACCUCUCUCCCUGGUGAACAAUUCUAUCCAUCCCCUCCCUUAUCACAUGCAAAAUAGUACUGAUGUUAGAAGCAGAAUUAAUAAUUGGCUUUUUUACCUCUCCCUCCCAGCACUUCAUGCCCUGUUUUGGGAAACCCUGCUGCAAGCCACUCCCUCCCAUAAAUCCCACCUCAAAUAUUUGGAUUUAAAGAUGCCCUCUGUGUUGCUUACUUCACCUCUUGGCACACACCAGUGCAGUGACAUGUGACAACAUGAGGCUUAGGGCAGUUCCUAGUCAUUGCUUCCAGAAUGGGAAUGAGCCAGGAUUCCUCCACUGUCCUGAACAACACCAACCUGCAAUGGUGGAGCUUCAGCAGCUGAGGAUUUUCUCCCCAGGCAUCAUACAGAUAUUUGCCGAUCCCAGAAAGCCACAGAACAAGAAAGACUGGUUACAGGCCCAGCAAUCCCACCUGUUAGAUGUUUCAUUUGUAUUACCCAAUACAGUGGGUAUUCAAAGCCUUAAACAUUCAGUCCUUGAUUACAGGAUAUAUCUCUGCAGCACAGGACAACACUGAGAGGGCUUUUCUGGCCUAAUCAGAAGAAUCAGCACAUACCUGAUUAUCUCAGUGCUUUGCUCCCAGCUGUUAUAUGAAACUUGUGAACCCACCUG
RNAcentral lists this long non-coding RNA (1284 nucleotides) under Taeniopygia guttata (zebra finch). RNAcentral's name for it is "lncRNA (ENSTGUG00000025786.1)". The record is from RNAcentral. Lineage: Eukaryota; Metazoa; Chordata; Aves; Passeriformes; Estrildidae.